UACGUAGGGACCGAGCGUUGUCCGGAAUCAUUGGGCGUAAAGAGCGUGUAGGCGGCCUUUUAAGUCCUGCGUGAAAUCCUGCGGCUCAACCGCAGACGGUCGUGGGGAACUGGAAGGCUAGAGUGCGGGAGAGGAGAGUGGAAUUCCCGGUGUAGCGGUGAAAUGCGCAGAUAUCGGGAAGAACACCCGUGGCGAAGGCGGCUCUCUGGAACGCAACUGACGCUGAGACGCGAAAGCGUGGGGAGCAAACAGG
Molecule: ribosomal RNA, 253 nt
Filed under: uncultured bacterium
Lineage: Bacteria
Description: partial 16S ribosomal RNA
Rfam family: Bacterial small subunit ribosomal RNA
Source: RNAcentral